RNA transcript from Ctenopharyngodon idella (grass carp), 1737 nucleotides. It is a transcript of the gene named origin recognition complex, subunit 5, with no coding region annotated. The transcript is spliced from 15 exons. The record is from RefSeq and is a predicted model, not a curated record. NCBI's taxonomy places the organism in Eukaryota, Metazoa, Chordata, Actinopteri, Cypriniformes, Xenocyprididae.
CACCCUUUCCGGAAGUGACGCACACUCGACGUCUUGAGUGAACCGCGCGGGGAAACUGAUGUGAAGUUUAUCCUGCAGGAAAGGGUCUUUGUGUCUCGAAAACUAACAAAUAAAGCCAAGAAUGUCUCGUUAAAACAUCUGCUCCAGUAAUAGAGAAUGUCCGUAACGCUGCAGUGUCCUGGUUAUCCUGAGGACACACUGCGCUCUCUGGCUGACAGGCUGCCCUGCAGGGAGGCACAGGUGACGUCACUGCUGUCACUCAUGGGACAGCCAGAUCAAUACAGUUAUCCUUCAUUCUUCAUCUAUGGUCACAGAGCAACAGGAAAAAGUCAUGUGGUGCUCACCAUCAUGAAAGAUCUGGAGCUCCCCCAUGCUUCAGUGGACUGUGUAGAGUGUGUGUCCGGUGGACUGCUGUUUCAGCAGGUGUUGUCUGCCUUUUUCGGGCCAGAUGCUGCAGCAUUGCUUCCUCGUUGCCCGUCUUUGUCAGAUUUUGUGCGACUGUACAAACAGAUGAGCUCCAGCACACCUGCUACACAGACACGCUAUAUAAUUCUGGACAGAGCCGAACGCAUGAGAGAUAUGGAUUUCAGCCUGCUUCCUGCUCUUCUGCGCCUACAGGAACUGGUAAAUGAUAAUGUGACCGUUAUCUUGCUCAGCGAAAUUGUGUGGGAAAAGUUUCGGCCCAACACUGGCUGCUUUGAACCUUUGCUCUUUCAUUUCCCAGACUACAGUAAAGCGGAGCUUGUGCAGAUUCUUUCUCGGGAUCAUCACCCAUCCUACACACCUGAGCUCUACUCUUCCUACAUAAACAUCCUGCUGGGGGUCUUCUUCUCAGUUUGCAGGGAUCUAAGAGAGCUCAGACACCUGGCUUUACUGAAUUUCUCCAAGUUUUGUGAACCCUUGGAGAAAGGAGAAGCUAAAGAGAGUGAUAUUCACAAGUUAUGGAAAAACAUUGAGCCCCAUCUGCACAGAGCCAUGCAGACAGUUUACCUCCGAGAGGUGUCCAGCGUGCAGUGGGAGCAGCAGCAGAUGGACGAGAAGGAGGCCAUGACCCUCAGAGGUUUAUCAGCACAUGCUCACAUAGAGCUGCCAUAUUACUCCAAGUUUCUGCUGAUCGCUGCGUACCUGGCGUCCUUCAACCCUGCCCGCACAGAUCGACGCUUCUUCCUCAAGAGUCAUGGGAAAAUAAGAAAGACUAAUUUCUUGAAGAAACAUGAGAAGACUAGUAACCAUCUGUUGGGACCGAAGCCUUUUCCUCUUGACAGGCUGUUGGCCAUAUUCUACAGUGUGGUUGAUAGCAGAGUUGCACCUACAGCCAGUAUCUUCUCACAGUUGUUUGCUUUCUGUUUUACAGAUUUCGUCUCUAGUUACUCUGCAGCUUCUCUCUCAGGUGGGGCAUGAUGACCAGCUGGACUCACCCAAAUACAAAUGUGCAGUUUCUCUGGACUUCAUUCUUGCAAUCUCCAGAACUGUAAGCUUCGAUGUGGUGAGGUAUCUGUAUGACUUCCUGUGAGCCUGCUGCAGUGGAUAUGAAGCAGGCAUCUGAAUUAAUCUGGAAUUACUUGAAUGGACUGCAGGAUAAAUUAUGUUACAGGAACUUCCUGCAUGUAUUAGUCCAAUCAGAAAAUACUCAGUUAAAACAAGAGACUCAUUCCUCCAAGAGAAAUUUGAUGGGUUUGGUGUGUUAUUGUGUAACACAACUUAAAAUUACUCUAAUAAAAACUGUAUAUUUUGUUA